This 570-nucleotide ribosomal RNA is filed under the name Carpetania elisae. RNAcentral's name for it is "Hormogaster elisae partial 16S ribosomal RNA". It matches the Rfam family "Bacterial large subunit ribosomal RNA", at positions 1857 to 2753 of the family's 2925-position model. Lineage: Eukaryota; Metazoa; Annelida; Clitellata; Crassiclitellata; Hormogastridae. The record is from RNAcentral.
UCCUGCCCAGUGACACAGUUCAACGGCGCAGGUAUCCUAACGAUGCAAAGGUAGCAUAAUCACUUGCCUAUUAAUUGUAGGCUAGAAUGAAUGGAAAAACGAAAUAUAGACUGUCUCUAUAAUAAAAACAAAAAUUAAUUUCUAACUGAAGAGUGUUAGAUAUAAUCGAAGGACAAGAAGACCCUAUAGAGCUUUAUCUAAACAAGAAAUUAUAUCUAAGAUUCGGUUGGGGCGACCAAGGAUAUUAUUUAUCAUCCUUUAUUAUUAGAUUAAUAAAUCUCAAUUCUGACAAAAAAACCAAGCUACCUUAGGGAUAACAGGCUAAUCCUGCUAGAGAGUCCUUAUCUAAAGCAGGGAUUGGCACCUCGAUGUUGGCUUAGGGAAACUAUUUGACGCAAAAGUCAAAUAAAGAUGGUUUGUUCAACCAAUAAAUCCCUACAUGAGCUGAGUUCAGACCGGCGUAAGCCAGGUUAGUUUCUAUCCACGAUCCUACUCAUAGUACGAAAGGACCUGAAUAAGGGUAAAUCAUUUUAAGAAUUAAUAUAAUAAUCUUACUGUAUUAAAUACUAU